Oreochromis niloticus (Nile tilapia) is the source of this 359-nucleotide long non-coding RNA. RefSeq lists it as uncharacterized. Lineage: Eukaryota; Metazoa; Chordata; Actinopteri; Cichliformes; Cichlidae. The transcript has 2 exons. The record is from RefSeq and is a predicted model, not a curated record.
UAAUGACACCAUCUUUCAAAAUAUACACAGUGCAAGCAUUUCUGCACUAAGUCGUGUACUUGCGCGCCACAGAAUAAGAAUGAAGCAAAUUUACAGAGUUCCUUUCGAGAGAAACACAGAACGUGUAAAGCAACUGCGAUAUGACUAUGUGCAGAGAGUGAUGGAACUAGAAGCAGAUGCAAUGGGACAUGAGCUACUUUUUGUGGAUGAGGCCGGUUUUAACCUCAGUAAAACCAGGAGACGUGGCAGGAACAUUAUUGGACACCGUGCCAUCAUCAAUGUCCCAGGACAACGUGGUGGUAACAUAACCAUGUGUGCAGCUAUAAGCCAAAAUGGUGUUGUUCACCAUCAUGCAACCA